Molecule: ribosomal RNA, 272 nt
Filed under: Epsilonematidae sp. 195_4-1000
Lineage: Eukaryota; Metazoa; Nematoda; Chromadorea; Desmodorida; Epsilonematidae
Also listed under: 3 other names
Description: partial 18S ribosomal RNA
Rfam family: Eukaryotic small subunit ribosomal RNA
Source: RNAcentral
UUGGCUCAUUACAACAGCCGUUGUUUCUUGGAUCUUACUUUACUUGGAUAACUGUGGUAAUUCUAGAGCUAAUACAUGCAACCAAGCUCCGACCUCAGGGAAGGAGCGCAUUUAUUAGACCAAGACCAAUCAGAUUCGUCUGAAACUUGGUGACUCUGAAUAACUUUGCUGAUCACACGGUCCUAGCACCGGUGACAUAUCUUUCAAGUGUCUGCCCUAUCAACUUUCGAUGGUAGUUUAUGUGCCUACCAUGGUUGUAACGGGUAACGGAA